GAUGACGACCGGCGCACGGGUGCGCACCGCGUAUGGAACCUACCUUUUACAGGGGAAUAGCCUUUGGAAACGAAGAUUAAUGCCCCAUAGUACCUUUUGUAGCAUUACAAGAUGGUUAAAGCCUUCGGGCGGUAUAAGAUGGCCAUGCGUCCCAUUAGUUAGUUGGUAAGGUAACGGCUUACCAAGACAGCGAUGGGUAGGGGCCCUGAGAGGGGGAUCCCCCACACUGGUACUGAGACACGGACCAGACUCCUACGGGAGGCAGCAGUGAGGAAUAUUGGACAAUGGAGGAGACUCUGAUCCAGCCAUGCCGCGUGCAGGAAGAAUGCCCUAUGGGUAGUAAACUGCUUUUAUACGGGAAGAAAAAGGGCUACGUGUAGCUUACUGACGGUACCGUAAGAAUAAGGACCGGCUAACUCCGUGCCAGCAGCCGCGGUAAUACGGAGGGUCCGAGCGUUAUCCGGAAUUAUUGGGUUUAAAGGGUCCGUAGGCGGGCGAUUAAGUCAGUGGUGAAAGUCUGCAGCUCAACUGUAGAAUUGCCUUUGAUACUGAUCGUCUUGAGUUAUAGUGAAGUUGCCGGAAUAUGUAGUGUAGCGGUGAAAUGCAUAGAUAUUACAUAGAACACCGAUUGCGAAGGCAGGUGACUAACUGUAUACUGACGCUGAUGGACGAAAGCGUGGGGAGCGAACAGGAUUAGAUACCCUGGUAGUCCACGCCGUAAACGAUGGAUACUAGCUGUCCGGGACCUUGAGUUCUGGGCGGCCAAGCGAAAGUGAUAAGUAUCCCACCUGGGGAGUACGUUCGCAAGAAUGAAACUCAAAGGAAUUGACGGGGGCCCGCACAAGCGGUGGAGCAUGUGGUUUAAUUCGAUGAUACGCGAGGAACCUUACCAGGGCUUAAAUGCAUAUUGACAGGUCUAGAGAUAGACUUUCCUUCGGGCAAUUUGCA
Molecule: ribosomal RNA, 948 nt
Filed under: marine sponge bacterium FILTEROTU23
Lineage: Bacteria
Description: bacterial SSU rRNA
Rfam family: Bacterial small subunit ribosomal RNA
Source: RNAcentral